This 152-nucleotide unclassified non-coding RNA is filed under the name uncultured Ascomycota. RNAcentral's name for it is "sequence contains ITS1". Lineage: Eukaryota; Fungi; Ascomycota. The record is from RNAcentral.
CCGAGUUUACAACUCCCAAACCCAUGUGAACUUACCACUGUUGCCUCGGCGCAGUUUCCUGUCUGGUGGCGAGAGCUGCUGGGCGGGUUGCGCCGGUGGACUACCAAACUCUUGUAAUUUUGGCAUUCUGAAAUAAAAAACUUAAUAAGUUA